Long non-coding RNA from Erinaceus europaeus (western European hedgehog), 1299 nucleotides. RefSeq lists it as uncharacterized. NCBI's taxonomy places the organism in Eukaryota, Metazoa, Chordata, Mammalia, Eulipotyphla, Erinaceidae. The record is from RefSeq and is a predicted model, not a curated record. The transcript is spliced from 2 exons.
GCGCGGCGCCCUCGCUCCACAGCGCCCCGUGGCGGCCGGGGCUGGCGGCGGAAACCCUGCGCUCCGGGCUGCUGUGGGGCAGCCAGGGACCCCUGGCCCGUGCCGGAUGAUUUUUCCAGAUGCAGCGGAUAAGGCGUAAAAGAUCUGAGCCACCUCCUUCGAGCCGGAAUCGAACCAGCGACCUAAGGAUAUCCACAGCUCUCCGUCUACAGUCCUCCGCUCUACCAGCUGAGCUAUCGAAGGGCGCUCGGCUUCCUCCAUGCGUCAUCGGCCUUUCAUAGUGGGAGGUACUCAAGACGCCAAGACUCGAGGCUGUUCUGACCUCGUGGAGAGCCUGCUGCAGAGCUGCGCCUGGCUCCACCGCUCCCCUCCCUGGCGGCGGAUGCAAAUUCUCCGCGUGUGGCUGCUGCCUGGCCUGGCAGUGAGCCUGCAGCCCUACUAUGAAACGUGUCCAGUUUCAGGUUAUAAAUAAAUUUAUCCACUCCAAAACCUUCCUUUCACCCUCUCCUAUCCUCCCUCUCUCCCCCCCAAAACUAUCCACCCCUGAUUUGCCUUUUGGAUUUCUCAGCCCCAAACCAUAACUCUAGGAUCAUCAGAGGAAGGUAAAGAAAUUAUCUUAACAUCCUUCCCAGUAGGCAUACCUGUGCCUGCCCCCUCCAACAACAAUUCUUAAUCCGAGCACUAAAGGGAAUCUUUAAAGAAACUACCCGCUCUCAAAGCAGUUUUUGGGAUCUAGACGAUCUUCAGAGAAGUAACAGUUUCAUUAAGUCCAGGGUUAUAGAAAUUUCUGCUUGGCACACAGUAAAACCUCAAAUUCAAUAUUAUUGGGCUUCAUGCAUUUGUUUCCCACUUAAAUUGAAUAUUAAAUGGAGUUGGAGACACUCAGGAGAAUAGAGCCUAAGAAUAAUCCAGGCAAAGAGUUAAGUUUGAACUAAUAAACAAAGGGAGUCAAAGAGGCAGUUUAUGACAUAGAAAUUGCUUUACCUUCCCAUGUGAGGAAAUGAGGAAUUCAGGUGCAAACAUGGGAAAUGUCAUAUCCUGAAGAAAAAAAAAAAAUCAGAUGUUAAGUGUUAGAGCUGAAAGCUAAUGCUUCUACUGAUGUGAGGGCUAGAUGAUAAAAACAGUAGUAGGUGGUCCAGGAGGUGGCACAGUGGAUAAAGCACUGAACUCUUGAGCAUGAGGUUCUGAGUUUGAUCCCUGGCAGCACAUGUACCAGAAUUAUGUUUGAUUCUUUCUAUCUCUGGCUCCUUCUAUUCCUCUCAUUAACAAACAAAUAAUAUAUAUAUUUAAAAAAAACAG